UACAGAGGUGGCAAGCGUUGUUCGGAAUUACUGGGCGUAAAGGGCGCGUAGGCGGUUGCCUAAGUCGGACGUGAAAUCCCCAAGCUUAACUUGGGAACUGCAUCUGAUACUGGGUGACUUGAGUUCGGGAGAGGAAUGUGGAAUUCCAGGUGUAGCGGUGAAAUGCGUAGAUAUCUGGAGGAACACCGGUGGCGAAGGCGGCAUUCUGGACCGAAACUGACGCUGAGGCGCGAAAGCGUGGGGAGCAAACAGG
Molecule: ribosomal RNA, 253 nt
Filed under: uncultured bacterium
Lineage: Bacteria
Description: partial 16S ribosomal RNA
Rfam family: Bacterial small subunit ribosomal RNA
Source: RNAcentral